Molecule: non-coding RNA, 48 nt
Organism: Schistosoma mansoni
Lineage: Eukaryota; Metazoa; Platyhelminthes; Trematoda; Strigeidida; Schistosomatidae
Source: Rfam
AUCCAGCUGACAAGUCCCAAAUAGGACGAAACACGCGUCAAACUGGAU